GACGAACGCUGGCGGCGUGGAUUAGGCAUGCAAGUCGAACGGUAUCAUCCUUUCGGGGGUGAGAGAGUGGCGAACUGGUGAGUAACACGUAGGUUAUCUACCCUCAAGACGGGGACAACCCAGGGAAACUUGGGCUAAUACCGGAUGUGAGCAACUUUUAGUUGUUUGAAAGGUGGCGUAAGCUGUCGCUUGGGGAUGAGCCUGCGUCCUAUUAGUUAGUUGGUGAGGUAACGGCUCACCUAGGCAAUGAUAGGUAGGCGGCCUUAACGGGUGGUCGCCCACACUGGGAUUGAGAUACGGCCCAGACUCCUACGGGAGGCAGCAGUCGAGAAUAGUCUACAAUGGUCGGAAGACUGAUAGUGCGACGCCGCGUGAACGAUGAAUCCCUUCGGGGUGUAAAGUUCUUUUAUAUGUGAGCAGUGCUUCUUAUAUUUAACAGUUAUGGGGAGAGAGAUAUUAGCAUAUGAAUAAGCAACGGCUAACUCCGUGCCAGCAGCCGCGGU
RNAcentral lists this ribosomal RNA (503 nucleotides) under uncultured bacterium. RNAcentral's name for it is "bacterial SSU rRNA". It matches the Rfam family "Bacterial small subunit ribosomal RNA", at positions 28 to 521 of the family's 1533-position model. The record is from RNAcentral.